CCCGGAAGGCGUGAGGGUGUCACAGUCCCUGGGAUGGCUGCUGUAGUCAAAUACCCUGCAGACAUUCGCAGGGUUCUGACAGGGAAGAGAGGAGGAGGAGCCCUUUAAGGCUUAAAGAGGCAGCCUGAGCAUAAGACGCACUAGAGCAUCUGACUCUCAGACUUGGCUUUGCCACUAGCGGGCUGUGUGAGUUUGGGCAAACCCCUUGGAAUCUCUGGGUCUCAGAGGUGAUCUUAACCCAAGGAUAGUCAGCUCCCUGGAAUCAUAUGCAAAAUCAAGCAGAAGUGUAUUUUUCUGGGGUAGAGGAUUCAUAGUAUUAAGUGGUUUUUUUAAAAGAAGGCUUAGAACUGGAAAAGGUUAAUUGGAACUGAACCAAAUGGUAUCUCGGGGCGCUUUAAUGGGCAGAAAAAGGAGAUACCAUUGCUGAGAAACCUGGCGGGGAAGUUUGCCCGACACCCUUUGCCCUACGCAGCCUAUUUGGCAGAGAGGCAGUUCUCCAAAUGACCGACAGAUGGCGUUAAACCUUCACUGUAGCUUUCCUGUUCUCCCCAAGACCUGCCAGCAAGCUGAACAACCACCCACUCUCUGCUCUGCGCUCCUCUACUCGUUGAAGAAGAGUCCCUUUGAGCUCAGAAAAAGUUGAGAAUCUAGCUAUUCAAAGGCUGAAUGAAGGAACCGAGGACUGAAGAAUGCAGAACUGGUGAAUGCGAAGCACUGGGAUUGGCAGUUGGGUGAAUCUGCAAAUGCAGAACUGGACGUGGAGGGCUGUUUGGACCUGCAGGAGCCCACCAGUUGGACUCAAAGAAACUGGUCACGUGGGGACUUGAAGAAUUGUGGAGUACAGAUUCUCUCUAAAGGGAUGGAUGCAAUGGGGUUCCAGCAGAUUGUUGCCAUGUGGAAUGCAAAUCCAGGAUCACUGGGUCUUCUGACUUCUCAAGAGAUACUUCAAAUACAGAUUUUAUAUGAAAUCUGAAUUUUAAAUGCUGGCAACUAAUUACAUUUAAACAGUGUUUGUGGGCCAAACAAAGAACAUGUGCUUGUGCAUAUGAUGUCUUGAAACCAGCUUGCAGCCCUCAGGGACUUGUGGGGUGGACGUGUGCCUCUUUCCUAAGUAAUUACCCAUGGGGGGGAAAUAUGUAAUCAUUUUGGAAUUGCUAUUGAACCAGUGCAAGUUCAUCAACUCAGCUCUAUAAAUCGUGAACCGUAAUUCAUGUGUGUGUGUGUGUGUGUAACCCCCUCUUCCCUGAUAGCUCAGUUGGUUAAGAAUCUGCCUGCAAUGCAGGAGACCCCAGUUCAGUUCCUGGAUUGGGAAGAUCCGCUGGAGAAGGGAUAGGCUACCCACUCCAUUAUCUUGGGCUUCCUUUGUGG
Bos taurus (domestic cattle) is the source of this 1368-nucleotide long non-coding RNA. The record is from Ensembl. NCBI's taxonomy places the organism in Eukaryota, Metazoa, Chordata, Mammalia, Artiodactyla, Bovidae.